RNAcentral lists this ribosomal RNA (226 nucleotides) under uncultured bacterium. Its description in RNAcentral is "partial 16S ribosomal RNA". It matches the Rfam family "Bacterial small subunit ribosomal RNA", at positions 15 to 244 of the family's 1533-position model. The record is from RNAcentral.
GAUCAUGGCUCAGGAUGAGCGCUGGCGGCGUGCCUAAUACAUGCAAGUCGAACGCUUCACUUCGGUGAAGAGUGGCGAACGGGUGAGUAAUACAUAAGUAACCUGGCAUCUACUAGGGGGAUAACUGAUGGAAACGUCAGCUAAGACCGCAUAGGUGUAGAGAUCGCAUAAACUCUAUAUGAAAAGUGCUACGGGACUGGUAGAUGAUGGACUUAUGGCGCAUUAG